UUCAAAUGUCAAGUCUCGUGCAGGGUUGCGGCACAGGCAAACUGUGUACAUUUCAUGUUCUCAGCUUAGGACAUCAUCAAUCAUGUGUAUCUCAGAUGACGCAGACAAUGACCACUGACCAGUCUGCGGAAGAUCUAUGCUGGUGGGCGAGAUGAUGAAAUUUCCUCUGUUGAGUGCCCGCAGGUUGGCCUCUGAACCGGGCGGGCGAGCCGCUGUGGUGACGUCACCAGCGUUAAACACACUGCUGAGGCUCCGAGCUGCUGAGCUGCGAUGGCGGCGUGGCGGUGGGAAGGGCAGAGAGGCGGAGGCAAC
Long non-coding RNA from Amphibalanus amphitrite, 312 nucleotides. RefSeq lists it as uncharacterized. The transcript is spliced from 3 exons. The record is from RefSeq and is a predicted model, not a curated record. NCBI's taxonomy places the organism in Eukaryota, Metazoa, Arthropoda, Thecostraca, Balanomorpha, Balanidae.